UAUAAACGAUCUUCGGAGUCAGCCGCUCCGCAGACACGUCGGUUUGGAUACUCUGCCUGGAAACACCGAAAACUAACCGGAACCGACGGCCGACAGAGACGGACGGCUCUCGUAGGAUACGAGGGGGUCGAUUAGGUGUGACCGGCUGUGUCGGUGACUGUGAUGAUGGGAGGAGAGCAGAGCUAUGAGAGGAAGGCUGAGGAGAGAGAAGAGGAGGCUGAAGAACAUCAAGAAUCUGCCCAUACUGACAGCUCCGGAUCUGCUGCUGCUGCCGGAGACACCCCAGGAGAGCUGCCCCAGUGCCAGAUGGGAAACAGGAAGGUGGACAACAUGUGUUUCAUGAUCUCGUGCACCAACUGGUACUAAAGUGGUCCUGGUACAACAGGUUAAUGAAACAGAAGGUGUUAAUGUGACUUCUGGGCCAGACGCUGCAUUCAUGGACCCCUGAAAAUCCCAAACGAAGCCGUCGCUGAAAUCCCACAUGCUUGCUGCAUUGUUCCACCAAGCAUGAAAAUGACAAAUCACAAUUUUACAGGUUAAGCAAACAAUAUAUAACAUGUUCAUUAGUGAGCUUUAGCGGUGCUGGUAGGUGGAUGUUUCCCUCUAUUUCUAGUCUUUAUGCUAAGCUAAGCGGCUGCUGAUGUUGGCUUCAUUUACCGUACACAGACGAGAAAGGUAUCGAUCUUCUCAUCAAACUCUUGGCACAUUCCCUAAAUGUAAAACUUUUCUUUUAAAGUGUGACAGGCUGUGUUCCCAUUUCUAAGAAAAGGGAAGAUGCCUGGCUUAUUGUUAACUCUUGCAGACGCCGGCUCAGUGAAAGGAAUAACCUGAUGUCUCGUCCAUAAUGGGAAUAAUGUGGAUAGAAAACCUGUUUUGAGUGUCAGCUCCCUCUGCUCUUCCAGUGAAUUAACUGACCAGGUAAAUACAUGUAAAGGUAAAAGUUUGAUCCCAUACGGACUUUCUUUAAAAUCCAGUUCAGUCAUGAAAGAAGGUGUCACAAGCAGGGACGGAAAGGAGAUAAAGAUUCAUAGACUGUAUAUAAGAUGGCAUUCCAGAAAACGAGCAUAUCCACUUAAGUAGUUUAUCCUUUGCCAUGCCAAUAAAGACUGACUGUUCUAAACAUAAAGUAUUAUUAGAAAAAGUCUUAACUGAUUAAAACUGUGUAUGAAUGUGUUUCUCUUCAUGCUUGGGAGGUUGAAGGUCACAUUAGUAGACUAAUAUUUGGUUGGUCGCUGGUUGAAAUCCCACCAAUGUGUGAGGUGAGUUUUGAAUGUGAGCCAAAUCAAUUAUUUCAAAAGCAAUGACAGAAUAAAGAAUACAUUUUUUUUAA
Long non-coding RNA from Sebastes umbrosus (honeycomb rockfish), 1330 nucleotides. RefSeq lists it as uncharacterized. The transcript is spliced from 3 exons. Lineage: Eukaryota; Metazoa; Chordata; Actinopteri; Perciformes; Sebastidae. The record is from RefSeq and is a predicted model, not a curated record.